AGGAUUAACGCUGGCGGCGUGCCUAACACAUGCAAGUCGAACGAGGUAGCAAUACCUAGUGGCAGACGGGUGAGUAACACGUGACCAACCUACCCUAGAGUGGGGGAUAACUAGCCGAAAGGUUAGCUAAUACCGCAUGAAACGUGCUGUGGCAUCACAGAACGUUAAAAGGAGCAAUCCGCUUAAGGACGGGGUCGCGUCCCAUUAGCUAGUUGGUGGGGUAACGGCCUACCAAGGCACCGAUGGGUAGCUGGUUUGAGAGAGCGACCAGCCACACUGGGACUGAGAAACGGCCCAGACUCCUACGGGGGGCAGCAAUUAGGAAUCUUGCGCAAUGGGGGAAACCCUGACGCAGCGACGCCGCGUGAAGGAUGAAGUCUUUCGGGAUGUAAACUUCUUUAUCAGGGAAGAAGAAUGUGACGGUACCUGAUGAAUAAGCCCGGCUAACUACGUGCCAGCAGCCG
RNAcentral lists this ribosomal RNA (464 nucleotides) under uncultured bacterium. RNAcentral describes it as "partial small subunit ribosomal RNA". It matches the Rfam family "Bacterial small subunit ribosomal RNA", at positions 26 to 517 of the family's 1533-position model. The record is from RNAcentral.